RNAcentral lists this ribosomal RNA (433 nucleotides) under uncultured bacterium. Its description in RNAcentral is "partial 16S ribosomal RNA". It matches the Rfam family "Bacterial small subunit ribosomal RNA", at positions 29 to 507 of the family's 1533-position model. The record is from RNAcentral.
AGCGAACGCUGGCGGCAGGCUUAACACAUGCAAGUCGAGCGGACCUUUCGGGGUCAGCGGCGGACGGGUGAGUAACACGUGGGAACGUGCCUUCCGGUUCGGAAUAACCCUGGGAAACUAGGGCUAAUACCGGAUACGCCCUUAUGGGGAAAGGUUUACUGCCGGAAGAUCGGCCCGCGUCUGAUUAGCUAGUUGGUGGGGUAACGGCCUACCAAGGCGACGAUCAGUAGCUGGUCUGAGAGGAUGAUCAGCCACACUGGGACUGAGACACGGCCCAGACUCCUACGGGAGGCAGCAGUGGGGAAUAUUGGACAAUGGGCGCAAGCCUGAUCCAGCCAUGCCGCGUGAGUGAUGAAGGCCUUAGGGUUGUAAAGCUCUUUUAUCCGGGACGAUAAUGACGGUACCGGAGGAAUAAGCCCCGGCUAACUUCGUG